CCUACGGGCGGCAGCAGUGGGGAAUAUUGCACAAUGGGGGAAACCCUGAUGCAGCGACGCCGCGUGUGUGAAGAAGUAUCUCGGUACGUAAAGCUCUAUCAGCAGGGAAGAAAAUGACGGUACCUGACUAAGAAGCCCCGGCUAACUACGUACCAGCAGCCGCGGUAAUACGUAGGGGGCAAGCGUUAGCCGGAAUUACUGGGUGUAAAGGGAGCGGAGACGGCAGCACAAGUCUGGAGUGAAAUCCCGGGGCUUAACCCCGGAACUGCUUUGGAAACUGUGCGGCUGGAGUGCAGGAGGGGUAAGCGGAAUUCCUAGUGUAGCAGUGAAAUGCGUAGAUAUUAGGAGGAACACCGGUGGCGAAGGCGGCUUACUGGACUGUAACUGACGUUGAGGCUCGAAAGCGUGGGGAGCAAACAGGAUUAGAUACCCUUGUAGUC
This 440-nucleotide ribosomal RNA is filed under the name uncultured bacterium. RNAcentral's name for it is "partial 16S ribosomal RNA". It matches the Rfam family "Bacterial small subunit ribosomal RNA", at positions 338 to 795 of the family's 1533-position model. The record is from RNAcentral.